Long non-coding RNA from Marmota flaviventris (yellow-bellied marmot), 555 nucleotides. RefSeq lists it as uncharacterized. NCBI's taxonomy places the organism in Eukaryota, Metazoa, Chordata, Mammalia, Rodentia, Sciuridae. The record is from RefSeq and is a predicted model, not a curated record.
CGCUGACCCUGGGCAGCCCUGGAGUCGGCGUCUUCUCGCUUGCUGCCCUGGGUCCUACAGCCGGAUGUGGUGCGCAUGCCUGGGAGAAAGUGACGGUCUCCACUAGAGGAACCCAGUACUGAGGCCAGCUACCCCAGGAAAGCUGGGGUCAUUCCACCAGAAAAAUCAGACCUGUGAACUCAGCCAGCAGCCAUCUCCUCAACCGCAACUCACUUCCAGGCCUCGGGCUAAGGGAAGCAACUUGUCUGGCCAAGUCUCCUGAUGCAGCAGAGUCCUAGACAAACUUGAGGGCACAGGACAUGUCUUCCUGCCAUCGUGGAAGCUUACACCCUUCACAGGUCUUCGUGUUCAAUCUUGGAUACAAAUUGUGAGGCUGGGGCCCUUCCACAAAGCACGAUAGUACUGAAAAGAUGCAACAUGCUUAGCAGAUAAGAGGGCCCCUGGCUCAAGAAUUUCCUAGAUCCCAGCCACACCCCAAACAGCAGCCAACCACACCAAGGGUUUGACAGGAUUUUUUUAUUAACAUAUAAUAUAUUUAAUAAAAAAUAAUAUCCA